RNAcentral lists this transfer RNA (77 nucleotides) under Burkholderia ubonensis. RNAcentral describes it as "tRNA-Thr". It matches the Rfam family "tRNA". From Rfam's summary of the family: Transfer RNA (tRNA) molecules are approximately 80 nucleotides in length. Their secondary structure includes four short double-helical elements and three loops (D, anti-codon, and T loops). The record is from RNAcentral. Lineage: Bacteria; Pseudomonadati; Pseudomonadota; Betaproteobacteria; Burkholderiales; Burkholderiaceae.
GCCGGUGUAGCUCAGCUUGGUAGAGCGUCUGCUUCGUAAGCAGGGGGUCGUUGGUUCGAGUCCAACCGCCGGCACCA